RNAcentral lists this ribosomal RNA (408 nucleotides) under uncultured bacterium. Its description in RNAcentral is "bacterial SSU rRNA". It matches the Rfam family "Bacterial small subunit ribosomal RNA", at positions 29 to 424 of the family's 1533-position model. The record is from RNAcentral.
AACGAACGUUAGCGGCGCGCUUAACACAUGCAAGUCGCACGAGAAAGGGCUUCGGCCCCGGUAAAGUGGCGCACGGGUGAGUAACACGUGGAUAACCUACCCUUGAGCAGGGGAUAACAUCCCGAAAGGGGUGCUAAUACCGCAUAAGACCACGGCUCCGAAAGGAGCUGAGGUAAAAGCUGGCCUCUAUAUAUAAGCUAGCACUUGAGGACGGGUCCGCGGCGCAUCAGGUAGUUGGCGGGGUAAUGGCCCACCAAGCCUUAGACGCGUAGCUGGUCUGAGAGGAUGAUCAGCCACACUGGAACUGAGACACGGUCCAGACUCCUACGGGAGGCAGCAGUGGGGAAUCUUGCGCAAUGGACGAAAGUCUGACGCAGCGACGCCGCGUGUGUGAUGAAGGCCUCGGUC